RNAcentral lists this ribosomal RNA (372 nucleotides) under uncultured organism. RNAcentral's name for it is "partial 16S ribosomal RNA". It matches the Rfam family "Bacterial small subunit ribosomal RNA", at positions 527 to 896 of the family's 1533-position model. The record is from RNAcentral.
GUAGGUGGCAAGCGUUGUCCGGAAUUAUUGGGCGUAAAGCGCGCGCAGGCGGUUCUUUAAGUCUGAUGUGAAAGCCCACGGGCUCAACCGUGGAGGGUCAUUGGAAACUGGAGAACUUGAGUACAGAAGAGGAAAGCGGAAUUCCACGUGUAGCGGUGAAAUGCGUAGAGAUGUGGAGGAACACCAGUGGCGAAGGCGGCUUUCUGGUAUGUAACUGACGCUGAGGCGCGAAAGCGUGGGGAGCAAACAGGAUUAGAUACCCUGGUAGUCCACGCCGUAAACGAUGAGUGCUAAGUGUUAGGGGGUUUCCGCCCCUUAGUGCUGCAGCUAACGCAUUAAGCACUCCGCCUGGGGAGUACGGCCGCAAGGCUG